AGAGUUUGAUCAUGGCUCAGAGCGAACGCUGGCGGCAGGCCUAACACAUGCAAGUCGAGCGGCCGUAGCAAUACGGCAGCGGCAGACGGGAGAGUAACACGUGGGAACGCGCCCUUCGGUUCGGAAUAACUCAGGGAAACUUGGGCUAAUACCGGAUACGCCCUUACGGGGAAAGAUUUAUUGCCGAAGGAACGGCCCGCGUCCGAUUAGCUUGUUGGUGAGGUAACGGCUCACCAAGGCGACGAUCGGUAGCUGGUCUGAGAGGAUGACCAGCCUCACUGGGACUGAGACACGGCCCAGACUCCUACGGGAGGCAGCAGUGGGGAAUAUUGGACAAUGGGCGCAAGCCUGAUCCAGCCAUGCCGCGUGGGUGAUGAAGGCCCUAGGGUUGUAAAGCCCUUUCAGCGGGGAAGAUAAUGACGGUACCCGCAGAAGAAGCCCCGGCUAACUUCGUGCCAGCAGCCGCGGUAAUACGAAGGGGGCUAGCGUUGCUCGGAAUUACUGGGCGUAAAGCGCACGUAGGCGGAUUGUUAAGUCGGGGGUGAAAUCCUGGAGCUCAACUCCAGAACUGCCUUCGAUACUGGCGAUCUCGAGUUCGGGAGAGGUGAGUGGAACUGCGAGUGUAGAGGUGAAAUUCGUAGAUAUUCGCAAGAACACCAGUGGCGAAGGCGGCUCACUGGCCCGAUACUGACGCUGAGGUGCGAAAGCGUGGGGGAGCAAACAGGAUUAGAUACCCUAGUAGUCC
This 745-nucleotide ribosomal RNA is filed under the name uncultured bacterium. Its description in RNAcentral is "bacterial SSU rRNA". It matches the Rfam family "Bacterial small subunit ribosomal RNA", at positions 8 to 796 of the family's 1533-position model. The record is from RNAcentral.